AUUGAACGCUGGCGGCAUGCUUUACACAUGCAAGUCAAACGGUAACAGGUUAAGCUGACGAGUGGCGAACGGGUGAGUAAUGCAUCGGAACGUGCCCGGUCGUGGGGGAUAACGCAGCGAAAGCUGCGCUGAUACCGCAUACGAUCUGAGGAUGAAAGCGGGGGACCGUAAGGCCUCGCGCGAUCGGAGCGGCCGAUGUCAGAUUAGGUAGUUGGUGGGGUAAAGGCUCACCAAGCCAACGAUCUGCAGCUGGUCUGAGAGGACGACCAGCCACACUGGGACUGAGACACGGCCCAGACUCCUACGGGAGGCAGCAGUGGGGAAUUUUGGACAAUGGGCGAAAGCCUGAUCCAGCAAUGCCGCGUGCAGGAAGAAGGCCUUCGGGUUGUAAACUGCUUUUGUACGGAGCGAAAAGGUCUCCUCUAAUACAGGGGGCUCAUGACGGUACCGUAAGAAUAAGCACCGGCUAACUACGUGCCAGCCGCCGCGGUAA
Molecule: ribosomal RNA, 493 nt
Filed under: uncultured bacterium
Lineage: Bacteria
Description: partial 16S ribosomal RNA
Rfam family: Bacterial small subunit ribosomal RNA
Source: RNAcentral